CAGCCGCCGCGGUAAUACAGAGGGUGCAAGCGUUAAUCGGAAUUACUGGGCGUAAAGCGCGCGUAGGUGGUUCGCCAAGUUGGAUGUGAAAUCCCCGGGCUCAACCUGGGAACUGCGUCCAAAACUGGCGAGUUAGAGUAUGGUAGAGGGUGGUGGAAUUUCCUGUGUAGCGGUGAAAUGCGUAGAUAUAGGAAGGAACAUCAGUGGCGAAGGCGACCACCUGGACUGAUACUGACGCUCAUGCACGAAAGCGUGGGGAGCAAACAGGAUUAGAUACCCGCGUAGUCCCUGUCUCUUAUAC
This 301-nucleotide ribosomal RNA is filed under the name uncultured bacterium. Its description in RNAcentral is "partial 16S ribosomal RNA". It matches the Rfam family "Bacterial small subunit ribosomal RNA", at positions 509 to 807 of the family's 1533-position model. The record is from RNAcentral.